CCUACGGGAGGCAGCAGUGGGGAAUAUUGCACAAUGGGGGAAACCCUGAUGCAGCGACGCCGCGUGAGCGAUGAAGUAUUUCGGUAUGUAAAGCUCUAUCAGCAGGGAAGAAAAUGACGGUACCUGACUAGGAAGCCCCGGCUGACUACGUGCCAGCAGCCGCGGUCAUACGUAGGGGGCAAGCGUUAUCCGGAUUUACUGGGUGGAACGGGAGCGUAGACGGCGGUGCGAGCUGGGUGUGAAAGCCCGGGACUUAACCUGGGGAGUCCAUUUGGUACUGCGGUGCUAGAGUGCAUGAGAGGUGGGUGGAAUACCAAGGGUAGCAGUGACAUGCGUAGAUAUUUGGAAGAACACCGGUGGCGAAGGCGGCCCCCUGGGCCGCAACUGACGCUCAUACACGAAAGCGUGGGGAGCAAACAGGAUUAGAUACCCGUGUAGUC
Molecule: ribosomal RNA, 440 nt
Filed under: uncultured bacterium
Lineage: Bacteria
Description: partial 16S ribosomal RNA
Rfam family: Bacterial small subunit ribosomal RNA
Source: RNAcentral